This is a long non-coding RNA of Ricinus communis (castor bean), 704 nucleotides long. RefSeq lists it as uncharacterized. Lineage: Eukaryota; Viridiplantae; Streptophyta; Magnoliopsida; Malpighiales; Euphorbiaceae. The record is from RefSeq and is a predicted model, not a curated record. The transcript has 2 exons.
UUACCCUCUUGACCCAUUUGUAAACCCUUUUGUCUACCCUCUACUACCUGUGUCUUGCUGAUGUUUGCUCAGAAAGCUCUUAUCAUUGGUGACCUCUUGAAUUGUUUCUUUAUUAAUGCAUGUCUCUUUAGGCUGAAUUUUGAACAAUUUGUAUGCUCGUACAAGGUUUCCUAUGGCAAUUCCCCAGCAACUGUUCCUGGAAGUGCAGCAGUAGCCCCUCCUAGUGGUGCCCCCUCUAUGGUUCCGCCUGCUGGUUAUCAAACUAAUGCAGCACCACCCACUAGCAGAGGCUUUGAGGCUAAUUUUUAAUCUGAUCAAAUUGGUAUUCUUUCCUCCUGUUUCUUAAUGGAGAAAAGAAGUUAGAAAGCAACCUUAUUCAUCUAUUUUGGAUGAUUAAUGAUGCUUGUAAACUAUUUUCUAGAGUAAAGAAAUUUAAAGCACUCCAGUUCAGAAGUGUUCUGUUGGUAAUGGCUGUAGUACUAUAAGCAUUGAGAAAAGAGGGUUCCAAUGAAUGGUUUGGGUAUGGUUUCUAUGACAAUCUGCUUUUGUUCAAGGCAUUUCGAAAAACACCAAGACGGACUUCCACAUUGUGCCGUCUUCAUUAGAUCUUGUCAUAUGGUAUGUACGGUGCUAAACCCACUAUGGCUAACUUCAAUUACUGUAGACAGACAUAAUAAAUAAUAAGAUAUCAAGAUUUAGCUGAA